This 406-nucleotide ribosomal RNA is filed under the name uncultured bacterium. RNAcentral describes it as "partial 16S ribosomal RNA". It matches the Rfam family "Bacterial small subunit ribosomal RNA", at positions 30 to 526 of the family's 1533-position model. The record is from RNAcentral.
AUUGAACGCUGGCGGCAGGCCUAACACAUGCAAGUCGAACGAGUGGCGGACGGGUGAGUAAUGUCUGGGAAACUGACUGAUGGAGGGGGAUAACUACUGGAAACGGUAGCUAAUACCGCAUACCAUCGGAUGUGCCCAGAUGGGAUGGGCGAGUAGGUGGGGUAAAGGCUCACCUAGGCGACGAUCCCGCGCUGGUCUGAGAGGAUGAACAGCCACACUGGAACUGAGACACGGUCCAGACUCCUACGUGAGGCAGCAGGGGGGAAUAUUGCACAAUGGGCGCAAGCCUGAUGCAGCCAUGCCGCGUGUAUGAAGAAGGCCUUCGGGUUGUAAAGUACUUUCAGCGGGGAGGCGUUACCCGCAGAAGAAGCACCGGCUAACUCCGUGCCAGCAGCCGCGGUAAUUC